AUUGAACGCUGGCGGCAGGCCUAACACAUGCAAGUCGAGCGGAUGAAGGGAGCUUGCUCCUGGAUUCAGCGGCGGACGGGUGAGUAAUGCCUAGGAAUCUGCCUGGUAGUGGGGGAUAACGUCCGGAAACGGGCGCUAAUACCGCAUACGUCCUGAGGGAGAAAGUGGGGGAUCUUCGGACCUCACGCUAUCAGAUGAGCCUAGGUCGGAUUAGCUAGUUGGUGGGGUAAGGCCUACCAAGGCGACGAUCCGUAACUGGUCUGAGAGGAUGAUCAGUCACACUGGAACUGAGACACGGUCCAGACUCCUACGGGAGGCAGCAGUGGGGAAUAUUGGACAAUGGGCGAAAGCCUGAUCCAGCCAUGCCGCGUGUGUGAAGAAGGUCUUCGGUUUGUAAAGCACUUUAAGUUGGGAGGAAGGGCAGUAAGUUAAUACCUUGCUGUUUUGACGUUACCAACAGAAUAAGCACCGGCUAACUUCGUG
Molecule: ribosomal RNA, 483 nt
Filed under: uncultured bacterium
Lineage: Bacteria
Description: partial 16S ribosomal RNA
Rfam family: Bacterial small subunit ribosomal RNA
Source: RNAcentral